Molecule: long non-coding RNA, 215 nt
Filed under: Lathyrus oleraceus (garden pea)
Lineage: Eukaryota; Viridiplantae; Streptophyta; Magnoliopsida; Fabales; Fabaceae
Description: Pisum sativum (pea) long non-coding RNA (PSAT_LNC034226)
Source: RNAcentral
AUUUUCAGAAUAAUAAAAAUAAAAAGGGUUCAAAAAUAAAUCAAAAUGGAAGGAAAAUGAGAAAAAUAAAUGAAUAAAAUAGAACAAAUGAAAAAAGAAUAAAGGAUUUGCACAAGUCAAUGGUUGAACCCUUGACCUUGGGGUCAUGGGGGGAUCAACCCCCUCUCUCACUAGGCCACAAGCUUGGUGGUGUUAAUAAGACACACCGAAGCAAU